Molecule: ribosomal RNA, 254 nt
Filed under: uncultured bacterium
Lineage: Bacteria
Description: partial 16S ribosomal RNA
Rfam family: Bacterial small subunit ribosomal RNA
Source: RNAcentral
UACGUAGGUGGCAAGCGUUAUCCGGAAUUAUUGGGCGUAAAGCGCGCGUAGGCGGUUUUUUAAGUCUGAUGUGAAAGCCCACGGCUCAACCGUGGAGGGUCAUUGGAAACUGGAAAACUUGAGUGCAGAAGAGGAAAGUGGAAUUCCAUGUGUAGCGGUGAAAUGCGCAGAGAUAUGGAGGAACACCAGUGGCGAAGGCGACUUUCUGGUCUGUAACUGACGCUGAUGUGCGAAAAGCGUGGGGAUCAAACAGG